Molecule: ribosomal RNA, 292 nt
Filed under: uncultured bacterium
Lineage: Bacteria
Description: partial 16S ribosomal RNA
Rfam family: Bacterial small subunit ribosomal RNA
Source: RNAcentral
GUGUCAGCAGCCGCGGUAAAACGUAGGUGGCGAGCGUUAUCCGGAUUCAUUGGGCGUAAAGAGCUUGUAGGUGGCCCUGUAAGUUGGACGUGAAACCCCCGGGCUUAACUCGGGGAGGCCGUUCAAUACUGCGGGGCUGGAGGGCGUCAGAGGGGAGUGGAAUUCCUGGUGUAGCAGUGAAAUGCGUAGAUAUCAGGAGGAACACCCGUGGCGAAAGCGGCUCCCUGGGGCGCACCUGACACUGAGAAGCGAAAGCUAGGGGAGCAAACGGGAUUAGAAACCCGCGUAGUCC